RNAcentral lists this ribosomal RNA (433 nucleotides) under uncultured bacterium. Its description in RNAcentral is "partial 16S ribosomal RNA". It matches the Rfam family "Bacterial small subunit ribosomal RNA", at positions 29 to 507 of the family's 1533-position model. The record is from RNAcentral.
AACGAACGCUGGCGGCAUGCCUAACACAUGCAAGUCGAACGAGACCUUCGGGUCUAGUGGCGCACGGGUGCGUAACGCGUGGGAACCUGCCCUUAGGUUCGGAAUAACUCCCCGAAAGGGGUGCUAAUACCGGAUAAUGUCUUCGGCCCAAAGAUUUAUCGCCUUUGGAUGGGCCCGCGUUGGAUUAGCUAGUUGGUAGGGUAAAAGCCUACCAAGGCGACGAUCCAUAGCUGGUCUGAGAGGAUGAGCAGCCACACUGGGACUGAGACACGGCCCAGACUCCUACGGGAGGCAGCAGUGGGGAAUAGUGGACAAUGGGCGAAAGCCUGAUCCAGCAAGGCCGCGUGAGUGAUGAAGGCCUGAGGGUUGUAAAGCUCUUGUACCCGGGAUGAUAAUGACAGUACCGGGAGAAUAAGCUCCGGCUAACUCCGUG